UCAGGAAUUUUGGGCAAUGGGCGAAAGCCUGACCCAGCAACGCCGCGUGAAGGAUGAAGUAUUUCGGUAUGUAAACUUCGAAAGAAUAGGAAGAAUAAAUGACGGUACUAUUUAUAAGGUCCGGCUAACUACGUGCCAGCAGCCGCGGUAAUACGUAGGGACCAAGCGUUGUUCGGAUUUACUGGGCGUAAAGGGCGCGUAGGCGGCAUGACAAGUCACUUGUGAAAUCUCUGGGCUUAACCCAGAACGGCCAAGUGAUACUGUCGCGCUAGAGUGCAGAAGGGGCAAUCGGAAUUCUUGGUGUAGCGGUGAAAUGCGUAGAUAUCAAGAGGAACACCUGAGGUGAAGACGGGUUGCUGGGCUGACACUGACGCUGAGGCGCGAAAGCCAGGGGAGCAAACGGGAUUAGAUACCCGAGUAGUCCCUGAGCGGGCUGGCAAGGCGCAU
Molecule: ribosomal RNA, 447 nt
Filed under: uncultured bacterium
Lineage: Bacteria
Description: bacterial SSU rRNA
Rfam family: Bacterial small subunit ribosomal RNA
Source: RNAcentral